RNAcentral lists this small RNA (3360 nucleotides) under Histoplasma capsulatum. RNAcentral describes it as "hypothetical RNA". The record is from RNAcentral. RNAcentral also lists the same sequence under 1 other name. Lineage: Eukaryota; Fungi; Ascomycota; Eurotiomycetes; Onygenales; Ajellomycetaceae.
UGCCCAUUGUUGGCUUUGGGCUGUGGAAGGUCAAUAAAAACAGCUGCUGGUUACCGCCUGUUAGAUGGUGCUUAUGACUACGGGGAACGACGCUGAGGCUGGAAAGUGAGCGGCUCGGGCCAUUCAAGUGGCAUUGUGAGGCGCAAGGAGCUGUUCGUUUCGUCGUGUCAAAGCUCUGGCAGGCUUAUCAUAAUUCUAAGCAAGUUGAACAUGUUGCGCGGAAACAGUUAGCUGACUGGAGCAUUGACUACUUCGACCUCUACAUUGUACACUUCCCCAGGCUAGUUUAGUGAAGGUGAAAGUUCGAUCAUUCUCAGUGGUACCACGAUCCAGCAAGCCAUGGAGGAGCUGGUUGACAAAGAACUGUCUCGUAGCAUCGGAAUCAGACAUCCAGCUCAUCAUGGACCCGCUGCGCUAUGCGCGAAUCAAGCCUGCCGCUCUCCAGAUCGAGCAUCACUCUGAGUAUACUUUACCCAAUGUCUCUUAGUGAAUUUCGCUCGAGAGAAUGGUAUUGCUGUUACCGCCUAUUCUUCGUUCGCCAACACAAGCUUUCUUGAGCUCAACAUGCAAAUCGCCAGGAACGUCCCGCUGCUACUUUCUCACCCCAUUAUUACGCCCAUUGCUCGGAAGCAUGACAGAACAUCUGCCCAGGUCGUCCUCCGUUGGGCCACACAACGAGGUAUCGCUAUCAUCCCUAAGAGCAACUCUAAAACCCGUCUCCUUGGGAAUCUACGUGUCAAUGAUUUCGGCCUUGAGCAAAACGAAAUCGACGGAAUCAGUGCCUUCAACAGGAAUCUUAGGUUCCACAAUCCCCUAAAAUAACUACGGGAUCCCAUUACCAAUCUUCGCUUAAAUGGCCAUACCUAUAGAGGUUCUCAAUGUGGCCGUUUUUUCCCCUCCAUAAUGAGUAGUAUGACCUCGAAAGCAGCCACAUAAUUUUAUCCAAACAGAUAUAUAUAUCUAUUAAGGUAUAUAUUUAUUGAUUGUUUUGCCAUUCUGGGAUGGGCUAUAAUAAACAAAAUAAUAUAGAUAAUUCGUUCAUCCAUCCUCAUCCUCGCCAGCAUCAACAUUAAAUUUCUUACGUCGAGACCCUGCACCUGCAAGAUUUUUCAGAUUCACCAGAUUCACCUGAGCAUCCAUCUUCUUCUCAAUGUUUUGAAUCUCCUUCUCAGGAUCAAUAGCUUCCGAGGACGCAAACUCCAACACCAGCCGCCUACCCAGAAGAUGGGUAUUCUUCAGCGCGUCCAUGGCAUUUUCCGCCUCGCGCGCACUUAUGAAAUCAGCAAACGCGAAACCACGAGCCGUCCUGUCAAAUUUCUGCGGGACGCGGACAGACCGGAGUUUGCCAUAUGCGCUGAAGAGGUUUCUGAUGUCUUUCUUCGUGGCUUGGAAUGGCAAGUUUUUGAUAAGGAUCUUUGUUCCCCGCAUGGCUAACUUCUUCGCAUUAUCCUCGCGCCUUCGUUCUUCAGCAGCGUCCAUGGCUUUGUGCGAGGUCUUGACGACGAGUUCGUGUUGAUCCAGCUUGUAGCCUUGCAUCGUGGCGAGUGCGGCGUGAGCUUGAGCAGCUGUGCGGAACUCCACGAAUCCAAAACCCAUGCUAAGCGUUUCUCCUGGCCGCUUUGGGUCGGCUUUUGUUUUCACCCUAGCGGACAGGAAUCCAUCCAGUGGUUGGAACACCUCUGUCAGACGGGCAUUUGUUGUUGAAAAGUUAAGAUUUCGAACGAAGAGAGUGGAUGUCUCCAGCGGAGUCUCGGCUUCUUCCGUUUCAGUCGCCUUGAAAGUAUCCGAAGUUGAGAAUGUUUGCGAGACCACCUUUGGAGGAGGUGCUAUAACCCUUGAAGCAGUCGCUUUCUCAUCGAAUAGGUCUUUAGGAGCUCUUUCCAGAAACAGAAUUAAAUCACCUAGUUUUCGAUAAGCGAGUCCCUUGAAUGCCUUUUGGCACUCAUCCGCCAUGACGAACUCAACGAUGGCUAUCGUGCCACUCGGGGGCAUUAAGAGUCUUUUGAUUUGUCCAAACGGUUCAAAUAGCUUUCUUAUAUCGUCAGCUUUUACACCAAAGGAGAAAUUCUUAACUAGGAUUGCGGUAUUUCCACGUUCCCGUUGCUUGAACGAAUCCAGGUUCACUCCAUUAGAUGAGAAGUAGGCUUUUGUUUCUUGGAUCACAUGCGUUUCAGCAUGGGCUUGCCUGAUUGCUGCGUCAGAGGACGUGGGGUCAAGAAGCUCGGAUUUCGAAACUCCAAGCCUUUCGGAUACUGAUGACAUAACUGCAUCAGCCUAGGAAAAGGAGUUAGAUCAUUGAAUUAAUCUGGACGCGAAAAUAACAUGUAACACACAUUCAUGUAUAAAGAGUUCCAACUGAAAUUUGAUGAUGCCGCUUCUUGUCUUCGUUUGAUCUGCUGCUGUUUUUUCAAAGGCAAUUUUGAAAGCUCAUAUUCGUCUAGUUUGUACGUUUUCUUUGACGAGGCCGGUAAGAUAUGCAAAAGACGGCCUUGGAAUACUUUCCCAUCUAGUGCUUUGUAAGCCUGAAUGGCCGCCUCGGGGUUUGCGUACUGUACGUAAGCAAAGCCUUUGCUUUUGGAAUGUCGCGUAUCAAACGCAACAUGAAUCUAUUCAUCGGUCAGCAUUGGGUAGAUUUUGGAAAAGCAAGGCGAGUGAGGGCUUCAGAUAGUUGUCACGAUAGGCUCAGAUAACAAGAGGCAUCUACUAAAAUUCUCUUUCCAGGUAACAUCACAUGCAUAGCAUAAGCUGUCCCUAUCUGGAUGAUCAUCAUUGGGGCCUGAAGUGCAGAGAGGUUGCACAUAGAAUGAGAAAGAGAGUAUUGACGUAACGAAACAGCGCUCUUACCUCAUCGAUCUUUCCGAAUGGAGAAAAUAGUGGCUCCAUGUCACUCUCACUAGCAUUAUAGAGAAGAUUUCGAACAAAAAGCCGACCAGUUUCACGGAGUUGACCUAUAUUCGCGUCAAAGGAUUCGUUCUGAUCGGGUGGAUUGGGUGGUUCGUUUUGAAUAGGUGGCGAAGUUUCCUGCGCUUUCCGUUUCCUUGCGUUUUCAAUGUCCCUAUCAUAGUUUUCUUCAAUUUCCUGUAUUUCAGUAGUCUCGUGAGAUCCCUCGUCUUCAUCAUCUUCAACCAGGCCAAGAAGUCGACUCGUUCUCGAUCGCAACCAAUCCAUAUCGGAUUUUGGUGCCUCUUCAACAGACGUGGCCUCAGGUUCAUCUUCAGUCUCGAAAGACACAGACUUCUUUGCUACGGAAUUAUCUUCAGUUACAUCAUCCAGUCGCUCCGUCUGCUUGGUUUUAAGAGUGGGCUCAUGGCCAGGCUUCAGGCGCUUGGCUUUGAUGCUGGGUGUUUCAGUAUUGCCAGA